GGUGCACUCUACUAUAAAAUCUGCCAAUAUUUGGGCCUUUAUUGCUGGUCUAGGUCUGUAGUUGAUGUCGAAUUCUGUGAGCUCAAUCGCCCAUUUUGCCAUUCUUCCGGAGGUGUCAGCCCGGUGCAAAACCGCUUUGAUGGGUUGGUCAGUGAGUAGCGUCACAGUGUGCCCUUGAAAGUAGGGCCGGAGCCUCCGAGCUGCAAUCAACAAGGCGUAGGUCAGUUUUUCCAAUUUGGUGUA
This 243-nucleotide long non-coding RNA is filed under the name Elaeis guineensis (African oil palm). Its description in RNAcentral is "long non-coding RNA (EGUI_LNC079010)". Lineage: Eukaryota; Viridiplantae; Streptophyta; Magnoliopsida; Arecales; Arecaceae. The record is from RNAcentral.